Long non-coding RNA from Oncorhynchus keta (chum salmon), 173 nucleotides. RefSeq lists it as uncharacterized. The record is from RefSeq and is a predicted model, not a curated record. NCBI's taxonomy places the organism in Eukaryota, Metazoa, Chordata, Actinopteri, Salmoniformes, Salmonidae. The transcript has 3 exons.
CCACACUAACACAGGUACACACUAACACAGGUACACACUAACACAUCCACACUAACACAGGUACACACUAACACAUCCACACUAACACAGGUACACACUAACACAGGUACACACUAACACAUCCACACUAACACAGGUACACACUAACACAGGUACACACUAACACAGGUACA